GCCUCCAUAGCUCAGUGGUACGAGCACUGGUCUUGUAAACCAGGGGUCGAGAGUUCGAUCCUCUCUGGAGGCA
Cloeon dipterum is the source of this 73-nucleotide non-coding RNA. NCBI's taxonomy places the organism in Eukaryota, Metazoa, Arthropoda, Insecta, Ephemeroptera, Baetidae. The record is from the annotation of a RefSeq genome assembly.